Molecule: ribosomal RNA, 253 nt
Filed under: uncultured bacterium
Lineage: Bacteria
Description: partial 16S ribosomal RNA
Rfam family: Bacterial small subunit ribosomal RNA
Source: RNAcentral
UACGUAGGUGGCAAGCGUUAUCCGGAAUUAUUGGGCGUAAAGAGCGCGCAGGUGGUUAAUUAAAUCUGAUGUGAAAGCCCACGGCUUAACCGUGGAGGGUCAUUGGAAACUGGUUGACUUGAGUGCAGAAGAGGGAAGUGGAAUUCCAUGUGUAGCGGUGAAAUGCGUAGAGAUAUGGAGGAACACCAGUGGCGAAGGCGGCUUCCUGGUCUGUAACUGACACUGAGGCGCGAAAGCGUGGGGAGCAAACAGG